UAGGGAAUCUUGCGCAAUGGGCGAAAGCCUGACGCAGCCAUGCCGCGUGAAUGAUGAAGGUCUUAGGAUUGUAAAAUUCUUUCACCGGGGACGAUAAUGACGGUACCCGGAGAAGAAGCCCCGGCUAACUUCGUG
Molecule: ribosomal RNA, 135 nt
Filed under: uncultured bacterium
Lineage: Bacteria
Description: partial 16S rRNA
Rfam family: Bacterial small subunit ribosomal RNA
Source: RNAcentral